UUUAUCGUUUGAUCAAUUUUAGUCAAUAAAAUUCAGUCUUUAGCUUUGUAUUUUUGUCUCCCAUUUUUCAACAACAUUAACGAGAAAUAACAAUGCAUGGGUACCAUAUUUCAACAAAAUUAGCAAGUAAUAACAACGCUGUCCUGUCUUCUUGCAAUCUAAAAUUCUCAAGCAUAUCUUAAAUUAAAAAAAUGAUGAAAUAUUUACAUGACAUUGAAAGGCUAUUUAUCGAGUAUAAAAACAUUCUUUAUAGGAAGAGGUGCUAAAGAAACCCGUUACAUGCUAUAGAACUUUUAGAUCUC
RNAcentral lists this unclassified non-coding RNA (302 nucleotides) under Hevea brasiliensis (rubber tree). The record is from RNAcentral. Lineage: Eukaryota; Viridiplantae; Streptophyta; Magnoliopsida; Malpighiales; Euphorbiaceae.